This 1309-nucleotide ribosomal RNA is filed under the name Trichobilharzia sp. L2. RNAcentral describes it as "eukaryotic LSU rRNA". It matches the Rfam family "Eukaryotic large subunit ribosomal RNA", at positions 41 to 961 of the family's 3401-position model. The record is from RNAcentral. Lineage: Eukaryota; Metazoa; Platyhelminthes; Trematoda; Strigeidida; Schistosomatidae.
UAUCACUAAGCGGAGGAAAAGAAACUAACAAGGAUUCCCCUAGUAACUGCGAGUGAACAGGGAUUAGCCCAGCACCGAAGCCUGUGGUUAUUUGACUGCAAGGCAAUGUGGUGUUUAGGUUUGUUCUUGGCAUUACUGCUCUGCCCCAAGUCCAGCAAUGAGUACGGCAUACCGUUCUGGCCCAUAGAGGGUGAAAGGCCCGUGGGGGUAGAGACCAAGCAUGACAGUUUUGUCCAGAGCUUACCUUGGAGUCGGGUUGUUUGAGAAUGCAGCCCAAAGUGGGUGGUAAACUCCAUCCAAGGCUAAAUACUUGCACGAGUCCGAUAGUAAACAAGUACCGUGAGGGAAAGUUGAAAAGUACUUUGAAGAGAGAGUAAACAGUGCGUGAAACCGCUCAGAGGUAAACGGGUGGAGUUGAACUGCGAUCCUUGGGAAUUCAGCUGAUGAGCAUGAUUUGUGCUUGGGCAUAUUGACCGCCUUUCAGUGUCUGCUUAGCUGCGGGUGCCUGCCUCUGGUGGGUAUGUGUGGUGCGCUUAUCAUGUGCCGCACGCAUUGGAGGGUGUAUGAGUCUGCUUGUCGGUGCACUUUCUCAGGGUGUUCACCACGACCGGCACUGCUGUCUGUCUGCUUUGGUCAAACUGAUCAGGUCUGAUUAACGUUGGGCUUGGUUGGGUUGGCAGGUGACUCACUGGUCCAUUCUGUGGGCUAUGAGUGUUACUAGCCGGCCUUAGUGGAUCUGUACGGUGUGUCGGAGACGGCGGCUUUGCAUAUGCGCUCUGUCCUUCAGGCGUGGUUGAGUCUGGUCGACUUGUUGCUAGUUUCGGCUGGUCAGUUGAUGGCUUGAUCAUGUUCAGUUGGCAGUGGUGUGUGUGUCUUAGUUUGGGCCAAUAGUCUGUGGUGUUGUGGUAGACUAUCCACCUGACCCGUCUUGAAACACGGACCAAGGAGUUUAACAUGUGCGCGAGUCAUUGGGCUUUACGAAACCCAAAGGCGCAGUGAAGGUAAAGGCUUGGCUUGUCCAGGCUGAGGUGAGAUCCUGUUGUUUUGCUCAUUCAUUCCAAGCUGCGAGCAGCAGGCGCAUCACCGGCCCGUCCCAUGACGUAGACAUGUGGCCUUGUGCUAUGUGCACCGUCGGGGCGGAGCAAGAGCGUACAUGUUGAGACCCGAAAGAUGGUGAACUAUGCUUGCGAAGGUUGAAGCCAGAGGAAACUCUGGUGGAGGACCGUAGCGAUUCUGACGUGCAAAUCGAUCGUAUAACGUGAGUAUAGGGGCGAAAGACUAAUCGAACCAUCUAGUAGCUGGUUCCCUC